GACGAACGCUGGCGGCGUGCUUAACACAUGCAAGUCGAACGGAAAGGCCCUGCUUUUGUGGGGUGCUCGAGUGGCGAACGGGUGAGUAACACGUGAGUAACCUGCCCUUGACUUUGGGAUAACUUCAGGAAACUGGGGCUAAUACCGGAUAGGAGCUCCUGCUGCAUGGUGGGGGUUGGAAAGUUUCGGCGGUUGGGGAUGGACUCGCGGCUUAUCAGCUUGUUGGUGGGGUAGUGGCUUACCAAGGCUUUGACGGGUGGCCGGCCUGAGAGGGUGACCGGGCACAUUGGGACUGAGAUACGGCCCAGACUCCUACGGGAGGCAGCAGUGGGGAAUAUUGCACAAUGGGCGGAAGCCUGAUGCAGCAACGCCGCGUGCGGGAUGACGGCCUUCGGGUUGUAAACCGCUUUCGCCUGUGACGAAGCGUGAGUGACGGUAAUGGGUAAAGAAGCACCGGCUAACUACGUG
Molecule: ribosomal RNA, 468 nt
Filed under: uncultured bacterium
Lineage: Bacteria
Description: partial 16S ribosomal RNA
Rfam family: Bacterial small subunit ribosomal RNA
Source: RNAcentral